This 72-nucleotide transfer RNA is filed under the name Marmota monax (woodchuck). Its description in RNAcentral is "tRNA.Thr". The record is from RNAcentral. Lineage: Eukaryota; Metazoa; Chordata; Mammalia; Rodentia; Sciuridae.
UGGGGUGUAGCUCAGUGAUAGAGUGUUUACCUCGUAUGCACGAGGUCCUGGAUUUAAUCCCCAGUACUGCAA